RNAcentral lists this ribosomal RNA (856 nucleotides) under uncultured bacterium. RNAcentral describes it as "bacterial SSU rRNA". It matches the Rfam family "Bacterial small subunit ribosomal RNA", at positions 37 to 887 of the family's 1533-position model. The record is from RNAcentral.
UGGCGGAAUGCUUUACACAUGCAAGUCGAACGGCAGCACGGACUUCGGUCUGGUGGCGAGUGGCGAACGGGUGAGUAACAUAUCGGAACGUAUCCAAUAAUGGGGGAUAACUAAUCGAAAGGUUGGCUAAUACCGCAUACGCCCUACGGGGGAAAGCAGGGGAUCUUCGGACCUUGCGUUAAUGGAGCGGCUGAUAUCUGAUUAGCUAGUUGGUGAGGUAAAGGCUCACCAAGGCGACGAUCAGUAGCUGGUCUGAGAGGACGACCAGCCACACUGGAACUGAGACACGGUCCAGACUCCUACGGGAGGCAGCAGUGGGGAAUUUUGGACAAUGGGCGCAAGCCUGAUCCAGCCAUUCCGCGUGAGUGAAGAAGGCCUUCGGGUUGUAAAGCUCUUUCGCAAGGGAAGAAAACUUACCUUUUAAUAAAGGGUGAGGUUGACGGUACCUUGAUAAGAAGCACCGGCUAACUACGUGCCAGCAGCCGCGGUAAUACGUAGGGUGCGAGCGUUAAUCGGAAUUACUGGGCGUAAAGCGUGCGCAGGCGGUUUUGUAAGUCAGAUGUGAAAUCCCCGAGCUCAACUUGGGAACUGCGUUUGAAACUACAAGACUAGAAUAUGUCAGAGGGGGGUAGAAUUCCACGUGUAGCAGUGAAAUGCGUAGAGAUGUGGAGGAAUACCAAUGGCGAAGGCAGCCCCCUGGGAUAAUAUUGACGCUCAUGCACGAAAGCGUGGGGAGCAAACAGGAUUAGAUACCCUGGUAGUCCACGCCCUAAACGAUGUCUACUAGUUGUUGGUGGAGUAAAAUCCAUGAGUAACGCAGCUAACGCGUGAAGUAGACCGCCUGGGGAGUGCGGCA